RNAcentral lists this ribosomal RNA (253 nucleotides) under uncultured bacterium. Its description in RNAcentral is "partial 16S ribosomal RNA". It matches the Rfam family "Bacterial small subunit ribosomal RNA", at positions 524 to 776 of the family's 1533-position model. The record is from RNAcentral.
UACGUAGGGGGCAAGCGUUGUCCGGAAUCAUUGGGCGUAAAGCGCGUGUAGGCGGCUCGGUAAGUCCGCUCUGAAAGCCCGGGGCUCAACCCCGGGAGGCGGGUGGAUACUGCUGAGCUCGAGUCCGGAAGAGGAGUGUGGAAUUCCUGGUGUAGCGGUGAAAUGCGCAGAUAUCAGGAGGAACACCAAUGGCGAAGGCAGCACUCUGGGACGGUACUGACGCUGAGACGCGAAAGCGUGGGGAGCGAACAGG